This 1714-nucleotide ribosomal RNA is filed under the name human gut metagenome. Its description in RNAcentral is "bacterial LSU rRNA". It matches the Rfam family "Bacterial large subunit ribosomal RNA", at positions 192 to 1985 of the family's 2925-position model. The record is from RNAcentral.
ACUGAAACAUCUAAGUAGGGCGAGGAAGAGAAAUCAACCGAGAUUCCGCUAGUAGUGGCGAGCGAACGCGGAAGAGGCCAAACCGGAGGUAGCAAUAUUUCCGGGGUUAGGACUGCAACAUGUAACUUUAAUCUUUAACUGAAUGCUUUGGGAAGAGCAGCGAUACAGGGUGAUAGCCCCGUAAGUGAAAAGGAUUGAGUGCUAGCAGUAUCCAGAGUACCAGCGGACACGUGAAACCCGCUGGGAAGAUGGGGGGACCAUCCUCCAAGCCUAAAUACUACUCAGUGACCGAUAGUGGAGCAGUACCGUGAGGGAAAGGUGAAAAGUACCCCGGGAGGGGAGUGAAAAAGAACCUGAAACCUUGUGCCUACAAGCACCGAGAGUCCGUUAAUGGAUGAUCGGGUACUUUUUGUAGAACGGUCCGGCGAGUUAAUAUUUGCAGCGAGGUUAAGGAACUGGAGUUCCGGAGCCGCAGCGAGAGCGAGUCUGAAAAGGGCGUAUGAAGUUGCAGGUAUUAGACCCGAAACCGGGUGACCUAUCCAUGAGCAGGCUGAAGCGGUGGUAAGACACCGUGGAGGGCCGCACCCACGUCUGUUGAAAAAGCCGGGGAUGACUUGUGGAUAGCGGAGAAAUUCCAAUCGAACUCGGAGAUAGCUGGUUCUCCCCGAAAUAGCUUUAGGGCUAGCGUUAUUUUAGAUUACCGGAGGUAAAGCACUGAAUGGUCUAGGGGCCGCGAGGUUACCAAAGCCUAUCAAACUCUGAAUGCCGGAUAAUUGAUGAAUAGCAGUCAGACUGUGUGAGAUAAGUCUCAUAGUCAAAAGGGAAACAGCCCAGAUCUACAGCUAAGGUCCCAAAUGAACACUAAGUGGAAAAUGAUGUGAAACUGCGAAGACAACCAGGAUGUUGGCUUAGAAGCAGCCACUCAUUCAAAGAGUGCGUAAUAGCUCACUGGUCGAGUGGUUUUGCGCAGAAAAUGUAACGGGGCUAAGUGUUCAACCGAAGCUUAGGCAUUGUACUUUGUACAUUGGGUAGGGGAGCGUCGUAUGCGGGGCGAAGUCAGAGCGGAAGCACUGGUGGACUGCAUACGAGUGAGAAUGCCGGAAUAAGUAGCGAGAAUUAUGUGAGAAUCAUAAUGGCCGAAAAUCUAAGGUUUCUUGGGGAAGGUUCGUCCGCCCAAGGUUAGUCGGGAGCUAAGCUCAGGCCGAAAGGCGUAGGCGAUGCACAUACGGUAGAAAUUCCGUAACCACCGAACAUUUAAGCUAGAGGGACGCUUUCUUUAAGGUUAUCCCGGGCGAUGGUUGCCCCGGGCGUAAGGGACCGAAAUAUAGUAGGGAAGUAACUGGCGAGAGAGACGAGAAAAGCUCUGGUGUAUACUAAGGUGCCCGUACCGCAAACCGACACAGGUAGAUGGGAUGAGUAUUCUAAGGCCAACGGGAGAAGGGUUGUUAAGGAACUCGGCAAAUUGGCCCCGUAACUUCGGGAUAAGGGGCGCCUGCGAGAGCAGGCCGCAGUGAAAAGGCCCAAGCGACUGUUUAGCAAAAACACAGCUCUCUGCUAAAUCGAAAGAUGACGUAUAGGGGGUGACGCCUGCCCGGUGCUGGAAGGUUAAGGGGAGUGCUUAGCGCAAGCGAAGGUGCGAACUUAAGCCCCAGUAAACGGCGGCCGUAACUAUAACGGUCCUAAGGUAGCGAAAUUCCUUGUCAGGUAAGUUCUG